RNAcentral lists this ribosomal RNA (424 nucleotides) under uncultured bacterium. RNAcentral describes it as "bacterial SSU rRNA". It matches the Rfam family "Bacterial small subunit ribosomal RNA", at positions 355 to 776 of the family's 1533-position model. The record is from RNAcentral.
UGAGGAAUAUUGGGCAAUGCCCGAAAGGGUGACCCAGCAACGCCGCGUGGAGGAUGAAUGCCGUAAGGUUGUAAACUCCUGUUAGAGGGGAAGAAAAAUUCCGAUCGAAUCGGAAACUGACUGUACCCUCAGAGAAAGCCCCGGCUAACUACGUGCCAGCAGCCGCGGUAAUACGUAGGGGGCAAGCGUUGUCCGGAUUCACUGGGUGUAAAGGGCGCGCAGGUGGGUUAGCAAGUCAGAGGUGAAAUCCUACAGCUUAACUGUAGAACUGCCUUUGAGACUGUUAAUCUUGAGUAUGGAAGAGAGAGAUGGAAUUCCAGGUGUAGUGGUGAAAUACGUAGAUAUCUGGAAGAACACCAGUGGCGAAGGCGGUCUCUUGGUCCAUUACUGACGCUUAGGCGCGAAAGCGUGGGGAGCAAACAGG